Gasterosteus aculeatus aculeatus (three-spined stickleback) is the source of this 539-nucleotide long non-coding RNA. The record is from Ensembl. Lineage: Eukaryota; Metazoa; Chordata; Actinopteri; Perciformes; Gasterosteidae.
AAACCAAAGAACUGCCUGCGGAGAGAUGGCAAUGUGUGGAGGCACAAAUCUGGGAAGGGCUACAAAAACAUUACGCUCCAUUGAGAGGUUCGCAAGAGCACAGGGGCUUCCAUAAUUUCUCAGCAGAAGACGUUUAGCAGAAACAGAGCUCUUCCUUGAGUCUAGCAAAAUAAUGAGGGACCUGAGGAACAACAGCCAAUUUGGACCGAAAAUCCCAGUUCAACUCGGGGUAAUCUGAUUUCUCUGCUCCCCAGAAAUCUACAUGUAUAGUGCUUAUCAACUAGAUUACUGGCAGGGACACCAUCUUCUCGCCAGUGGUGGAAGAGGUUUCCUGGACUCGUAGCUCCCAGUGUGGACUAUAAGAAGGUUCCUCCCAGUCCUGUAUGUGGAUACAAUACAGGGUCAAGUAUGGGUUGUGGUAAACGGAUGACCACCACCCACGUACCCUCGUCACCGCAGAGGUCAAUCCGCCUGGAACCAGGGCACCAAUCCCUUCAAGGUGAUUAUUGAUAAAGGGCGACACGCCAAUGUAGACACGG